Molecule: long non-coding RNA, 386 nt
Organism: Mytilus californianus (California mussel)
Lineage: Eukaryota; Metazoa; Mollusca; Bivalvia; Mytilida; Mytilidae
Exons: 3
Source: RefSeq, a predicted model, not a curated record
UCUACAUAAAGAGAUAACGCCAGGAUAACAUAGCUGAAGGUUAUUCCGCUUCUUGAACGCUCCAAGUUCGAACAAUAUUAAAUUAAAAUGGAGUUUUGAGACAAUGAAAUAUACAACGAUACUGAUCUCAUUGGCAGUUCUUUCUCUUCACAUUUCCUGUAUAAAUGGUUGGUUUUUUGAAAGCCCAGAACAUCCAACAAGACGAGAGGACGAGUUAACUGAUAUUGCUGAGGUAAAUCCAGAAGAUCUAGAUGAUAUGCAGUUAUUUUUAACAUAUAAACCUUACUUUUUGGAAUACGCCAGACAACAAAUGUUAAGGAAGAGAAAUCCACCUUCAAAACGAUCCCUGCCAAUCAUGUUGCGACAACGGAAAGAAUAAGAAGCUU